Non-coding RNA from Protobothrops mucrosquamatus (brown spotted pit viper), 567 nucleotides. Lineage: Eukaryota; Metazoa; Chordata; Lepidosauria; Squamata; Viperidae. The record is from the annotation of a RefSeq genome assembly.
ACUCAUUAACACAAAGCUUGUGCACUUUCUUGAAUGCUUUCCUAUCAGUUUCCCUCCAAGGAGCAAAAAAUGACUCUGUGGCCAAAGUUGGCGUUCUUACUAGGAGUCCUUGGAGGUGUCCAGUCAGAGGAGCAGUUGGUGGAGUCUGGAGGGGGUGUGAGAAGGCCUGGAGAGUCCCUCCGCCUCUCCUGCCAAGCCUCUGGAUUCACCUUCAGCAGCUCCUACAUGCACUGGGUGAGACAGGCCCCAGGGAAAGGACUGGACUGGGUUUCAGAGAUACAUCCAACUUCAUCUGGGAUUACAUACUCAGACAAAGUGAAGGGCCGCUUCACCACCUCCAGAGACAACGCCAAAAGCCAGCUGUAUCUGCAAAUGAACAGCCUGAAAGCUGAAGACACGGCAGUCUAUUACUGUACAAGGGCACAGUGUGGGGAAGUGAAUCUGAAGCCAGACAAAAACCUUCCUUUCCUCAGAGCCACUCUGCAACUUGAUUCAAUCAUGGAUCCUGGUUUAGUCAAUAAGGAUGGAUCACCAUCCAUUGAGAACUUUAGGAAUCUUUUGUUCUAG